GGGGUAAUAGGGUGUGCUUUGUUGAUCAUAUAGUCAUCAUCAGAUAAUAAGCCAGGCAGUUCAUUAAACGUGAUUGGUUGGUGUCGGCCUAGAAGAUUGGAUUUUAAACCAUUGUAUUCAUCUCUUAAUCCAGAUAUUGUGAGCAUAACUAGGUCCUUAUCUUUCAUAGGUUCACCAAUAUUUGACAAAGCAGAGGCAUAUUCCAUAGCUCGGGUCAAAUAUGCAAUUGGGGUUUCAUCCCCUUUCAUCAUUAUUCUGAGCAAUUGAGUUUUUAAAGUGUAUUCACGAGAGGCUGUGUUGGGUGCAUAAGCACGUUCUAAAGAAAGCCAAAGAUCACGAGAAGUGUUACCUUGAACAUGCUGAAAUGAUGCUUCAGAAAUUGUUGAUAAGAUUAUCAUCCGGACGUGGGCAUCGUUUGCAAUCCACCGGGAAUAACUGGGGUUAUCAGUGGUUGAAGAAGCUUCACCUUCUUUAGAUGCUGGAAUGAUUACAGUUGGUUCUGGGCAAGGAAUGGUGCCAUCCACAUAAUCGAACAGAUUAUUUGUAAGCAAGAAAGGUUCGAUCAUGGCUUUCCAAUACCCAUAGUUUGUUGGGGUUAGGGUAAAAGCAAAUUUGUGUGUGUUAUGGGCUGUUUUCUCAGCAGUGGUGAAGGCAGCCAAGGUUGCCAUGAUUGAAAGAGGCUGGCCGGAAAAAAAACAGGUUACCGGCGAAGGGAAGGGGAAGAGUUGACUGUUGAGCUCCUGGCUCUUGAUACCAUGUAAAACCAAAGGGUUGGAUUUUUAUUGAAUGAAUAGAGAGUUACAAUCAGGGAAAUAUAAAGACUAAAAUAUUACACAUUCAACCCUCUAACAAUAAUAAACAUGACAGACUUUUGGUUUAACAAUAUCUAAUGUAAUCAAAAAGUUUAAAGUAUAAAACAAAAUAGAAACGGAGAAAAACUGUUAAAUAUUAAAUAGUAAAUAAGUUUGUGGUGUAAAUUUUACGUAGUAUUCUUUUUACUUAUCCUCAUAAAUGCACACAAAACAAAGUGUACCACAAAUAAUAUAAUAUUACUUUUUAAAUAUUUUAAACAUCAUCGUCUUCUCUACGCAGAAGACUACCGGAAAUCAGAGAGGAGCCCACCGGAAAGUCGGAAAAACCCAAAAAAAUAAACGGAAACAUGUCGGAAACGUUUCCUUCGCGUCCCAAAACGCCGUCCCCUUCUGCAUCACAUUUCCACGCCAUACCCUACAUGCCGGGGACGUUUCCCGGCCGUCCCCGUGCCGUUUCCGUCCCCUAGCAGUCCCCGGGACAGGAGACGGCACCUCAUAGGCGUUUCCGUGCUUCCGAGCGUAGUAGCAUCCUACCUAUAGCAAGGCUAUUGGUAUGGUCUGGGGAGGGUAGAAUGUAGGCAAGCCUUACCUCUAUCCCAAGGGAUAGAGAGGCUACUUCCGGUGAGACACUGAGACCCCCCGACUCCAAAAACCAUAUCUAUAUACAAAUUCAAUUAAAACAUGCAUAGCUAGAAAAAAUAAAAAAAUACAGCAGAAAAACAGAGAGUGCUAAAAAUAUCUUGUGUUGCUACUAAUAACCGUAUACUAAGAACAAGUAAAACAUCCUAUAGUCACACCGACAAGGGUAACAUGCAAAGGCCACCCAAAAGAUAUGACAAGCAAAGCCCCGAAGGCAAGAAAUCUAUUACAAAUCUAAACCAUCCUCCUAAAAAUCCUUAAACUUAAUACUACGCAUCCACAAGCUUCCAUCAUGGACCAUUUCCUCAUAGAGGUGCAAGUCAAGCAAAUCAUGCCAAAUCCGCUCAUCCUAAGUCAGUUAGGGUCCGUCGUGAAGUGUAUGCUUAUCGUAGUCCUUAAUAUCCUAAUUCAUGAAGAUUCUAAGUAGUGUUAUUGUUACUAAUUACAUGCUAAAACAAGUCUUACAUAACCAUCAAGAUUCAAACUUUAUCACCAAAAGAUAAUAUCUUUACAACACCUCAAACCUUAUGUAGUUAUGUACAAUUUGACUUUAACUUGCAAAGCCCUAAUAGCAGUCAAUAAUUUAGGGGUGGUUUUCAACACAGAGAAGAUAAAUUAACAAAACAUUUGAUAGAAAAAGGCAGACAAAUUAAUAAUUAAAGGAAUUAAGUACCUGAAAGCGAGCAAUAGCAUCGGCGGCAAUGGUGGAAUAGGCACUGCCCAUGUGAGGAGGGGCAUUGACGUAAUAAAGCGGGGUGGUGAGGACAAAUGGAUCUUGGCUAGAAGUGCUGCUGCAAGUGCAGUAUAAAGCAGUUGGUGAUCUUCUGGAUGAUGAAGAAGGUGGUGAAGGUGGUUGUAUGAGAUUGAAGGGAGUGAUGCACCCUUGCCGCCAUAUCCUCUCUUUUCCGUUCAGUUCAGUUGAGGACUGAUUUGAAUACGAGCCCCCCUUGGAGAUAGGCUGCAAAAAUGUUAAUCCACUAUUUUUUUUAGCUUUUAUUUUUUGGCUUAUGCUUAUAUUUUAAAGUAGCUUAUAGCUUAUUUUCUAUCUUUCAUUUGAUAAGCUCUUUUAAAGUGUUUGGAUUAGCUUAUAGCUUAUUUUCUAUCAUUUGACCUUACACAAAUAAGCCUCUUCAAAUAAGCUUCUUCAAAUUAGCUUAUAUAAGCUAAUAAGCAUAAGCUUAAAAAGCUAAACCAAAUAAGCUUAUUUUGUAU
This 2663-nucleotide long non-coding RNA is filed under the name Helianthus annuus (common sunflower). Its description in RNAcentral is "hypothetical non coding rna". Lineage: Eukaryota; Viridiplantae; Streptophyta; Magnoliopsida; Asterales; Asteraceae. The record is from RNAcentral.